UCCUACGGGAGGCAGCAGUGGGGAAUCUUGCGCAAUGGGCGAAAGCCUGACGCGGCAACGCCGCGUGCGGGAUGACGGCCUUCGUGGUUGUAAACCGCUUUCAGCAGGGACGAAAAUGACGGUACCUGCAGAAGAAGCCCCGGCUAACUACGUGCCAGCAGCCGCGGUAAUA
RNAcentral lists this ribosomal RNA (172 nucleotides) under uncultured bacterium. RNAcentral describes it as "partial 16S ribosomal RNA". It matches the Rfam family "Bacterial small subunit ribosomal RNA", at positions 337 to 525 of the family's 1533-position model. The record is from RNAcentral.